GAUGAACGCUGGCGGCGUGCCUAAUACAUGCAAGUCGAGCGAACGGACGAGAAGCUUGCUUCUCUGAUGUUAGCGGCGGACGGGUGAGUAACACGUGGAUAACCUACCUAUAAGACUGGGAUAACUUCGGGAAACCGGAGCUAAUACCGGAUAAUAUUUUGAACCGCAUGGUUCAAAAGUGAAAGACGGUCUUGCUGUCACUUAUAGAUGGAUCCGCGCUGCAUUAGCUAGUUGGUAAGGUAACGGCUUACCAAGGCAACGAUGCAUAUCCGACCUGAGAGGGUGAUCGGCCACACUGGAACUGAGACACGGUCCAGACUCCUACGGGAGGCAGCAGUAGGGAAUCUUCCGCAAUGGGCGAAAGCCUGACGGAGCAACGCCGCGUGAGUGAUGAAGGUCUUCGGAUCGUAAAACUCUGUUAUUAGGGAAGAACAUAUGUGUAAGUAACUGUGCACAUCUUGACGGUGCCUAAUCAGAAAGCCACGGCUAACUACGUG
RNAcentral lists this ribosomal RNA (497 nucleotides) under uncultured bacterium. RNAcentral's name for it is "partial 16S ribosomal RNA". It matches the Rfam family "Bacterial small subunit ribosomal RNA", at positions 28 to 507 of the family's 1533-position model. The record is from RNAcentral.